RNAcentral lists this ribosomal RNA (443 nucleotides) under uncultured bacterium. RNAcentral describes it as "partial 16S ribosomal RNA". It matches the Rfam family "Bacterial small subunit ribosomal RNA", at positions 338 to 795 of the family's 1533-position model. The record is from RNAcentral.
CCUACGGGAGGCUGCAGUGGGGAAUAUUGGGCAAUGGACGCAACCCUGACCCAGCAACGCCGCGUGAAUGAUGAAGGUCUUCGGAUUGUAAAGUUCUUUUCUAAGGGAAGAAGAAAGUGACGGUAUCUUAGGAAUAAGCCUCGGCUAACUACGUGCCAGCAGCCGCGGUAAUACGUAGGAGGCAAGCGUUAUCCGGAAUGACUGGGCGUAAAGGGUGCGUAGGUGGUUUGACAAGUUAGUAGCGCAACUCCGGAGCUCAACUUCAGAACUACUACUAAAACUGUUGGACUUGAGUGCAGGAGGGGCAAUCGGAAUUCCUAGUGUAGCGGUGGAAUGCGUAGAUAUUAGGAGGAACACCAGUGGCGAAGGCGGAUUGCUGGACUGUAACUGACGCUGAGGCACGAAAGCGUGGGGAGCGAACAGGAUUAGAUACCCGUGUAGUC